AUGGGUCCCAAAAAGGGUGUUAAAGCUCCAGUUGCAGCUUCCAAGAAGAAGCCAGUUACAAAUCCUCUUUUCGAGAAACGCCCUAAGCAAUUUGGAAUUGGUGGUGAAUUGCCUCCUAAGAGGGAUUUGACUAGAUUCGUCAAGUGGCCAAAGAAUGUUCAGGUUCAGAGGAAGAAGAGAAUUCUCAAGCAGAGGUUGAAGGUCCCCCCAGCUUUGAACCAGUUCACUAAAACUCUUGACAAAAACCUAGGUUUGAAAUAA
Non-coding RNA from Vicia faba (fava bean), 261 nucleotides. The record is from the annotation of a GenBank genome assembly. Lineage: Eukaryota; Viridiplantae; Streptophyta; Magnoliopsida; Fabales; Fabaceae.